Molecule: small RNA, 99 nt
Filed under: Salmonella enterica
Lineage: Bacteria; Pseudomonadati; Pseudomonadota; Gammaproteobacteria; Enterobacterales; Enterobacteriaceae
Also listed under: 1 other name
Description: partial RtT sRNA
Rfam family: RtT RNA
About the family: This family represents a bacterial cis-regulatory element known as RtT RNA. The exact function of RtT is unknown although it is thought that it may be involved in changing the cellular response in relation to amino acid starvation.
Source: RNAcentral
AUAUCUCUCUGUACGGGAAGGAUGAGAAGCUUCGACCAAGGUUCGAUUCGAGCGCAGCGAGAAAGCGUUGCCGCAGGCAACGACCCGAAGGGCGAAGCG